AAGUAUUCGCUAGGCGAGCAUCCAGCGAGCAGGUAGCGAACAAUUCCAGUAGCAAAAACAUCAAGACUCGCUGGAGCAAAUGAGAGAAGCGAGGGCUUCGCCUAGCGAAGGAUUGUUCGCCUAGCGAACAGAUGCAAACUGGUCUGGGAUGAUUCCUCUGGACGCAGGCUCUUCUGGUGACUUAUUUUGGGGCUCGCUAGG
This 201-nucleotide long non-coding RNA is filed under the name Lathyrus oleraceus (garden pea). RNAcentral's name for it is "Pisum sativum (pea) long non-coding RNA (PSAT_LNC010777)". Lineage: Eukaryota; Viridiplantae; Streptophyta; Magnoliopsida; Fabales; Fabaceae. The record is from RNAcentral.